UCGCUUCAGAUUGAAUUCUCUAACUGGUUUUGAAACUGAUUCUUUGCAGAUACAAGAAACACAUGGAGAAUCAUAUUCUUGCAACCACAGAUCAAUUCAGGUAUUCUGGCAGGCAAAAAGAAGAAAUUCAAAGCUGGAGUAGAAGAAAGAGCUAAAAAUUAACGGACCACUUACUUUGAAGUUUGAAGCUCAAGUGACAUUGAGGAGAAACUGUGCAAUUAUCCAGCUGUACUGACACCAUUAGGGAGCUUGUUCUGGAUCACAGAUCUGGGAGAUUAAGUUUUACUGCUUGAAGGAUACCCAUAUUCCAAAGAUUUACUUCAGUUUUCUGAAUGUGUUUUCCAGUAAAUAGCCAUUUGGAAAUGGGAACCAACUUUCUCUGGAAAUGGACUGGUCAAGCCCUUCAGUCCACUUGAAAACACUUUCCUAUUUCUGGCCAUUUUCCAUCUGUGCAGUGAAAUGGAGUGCUAGUGCCCGAUGUGUUGGAAACUUCACUGCUUUUCACUUCUGUUUGGCUUUUUACCUUUUGCUGUUCUUUACCCUGAAUAAAAUUCCGACUUGUCCUGAAGUAUUUAUCAGUUAAAUGUGGCAUUGUAAUCAAUUUUAUGAGUUUUUAAGCCAAAGUGAAUAUCAAAUUGCAGCUGAGGGCACUCAGCACCGUACAGGGUGGGGCCCACAGUGAAAGCUGACAUUUGAGAAAUAAAUGUUGUAUAAUAGCUGUAAAGAUUUGUGAG
Molecule: long non-coding RNA, 734 nt
Filed under: Serinus canaria (Common canary)
Lineage: Eukaryota; Metazoa; Chordata; Aves; Passeriformes; Fringillidae
Description: lncRNA (ENSSCAG00000014066.1)
Source: RNAcentral